This 295-nucleotide ribosomal RNA is filed under the name Escherichia coli. RNAcentral describes it as "partial 16S ribosomal RNA". It matches the Rfam family "Bacterial small subunit ribosomal RNA", at positions 1 to 275 of the family's 1533-position model. Lineage: Bacteria; Pseudomonadati; Pseudomonadota; Gammaproteobacteria; Enterobacterales; Enterobacteriaceae. The record is from RNAcentral.
AAAUUGAAGAGUUUGAUCAUGGCUCAGAUUGAACGCUGGCGGCAGGCCUAACACAUGCAAGUCGAACGGUAACAGGAAACAGCUUGCUGUUUCGAGGACGAGUGGGGGAGGGGAGAGGAAUGAGGGGGAAACUGGGUGAGGGAGGGGGAUAAGGACUGGAAACGGGAGGGAAUACCGAAUAAAGUCGGAAGAGCAAAGAGGGGGACAUGAGGGGCUCUUGAAAUCGGAUGUGCCCAGAUGGGAUUAGCUAGUAGGUCAGUCUCUUAUAAAAAUAUCCGAGACCACGAGACAGGCA